GUCAUCCAGAUGUUCAGAGGGAGAUGAUGCCACAUCUGGUCCAGCUGAUGGAAGGUCUUGAAGUUCUCUGACUGGCCUCGACUGAAGAUGGUCGUCUCACUGGAUUUAAGGUUCAGAUGCUCAGUAACAAACUCCACCAAUGAGCCAACAGGGAAGCUUUAGGUUUAUUAAAUGUUGCUAUGAAGAUGCACAAUGAGGGACGUCUGCAGAGACUGAGAAAGAGUCUCACCACAUCCUGACAUGAGGAAAAAGACUUUACUGAAGACUACAAUGAGAAAAACUAUCAGACAGCAGACGGCUGCAUUCAAGAGAGGAAGACCAUCAAACAUCCACGUCAGCUGAUGGAGGUCCAAGAGUCUCACCAAACAAACAACCUACAGAGUGAAGACCUCUAACCUGAUUGGACGGCUUCCUAUUCAGCCACAUGUGUGAACAAAUGC
Long non-coding RNA from Amphiprion ocellaris (clown anemonefish), 440 nucleotides. The record is from Ensembl. NCBI's taxonomy places the organism in Eukaryota, Metazoa, Chordata, Actinopteri, Pomacentridae.